Molecule: long non-coding RNA, 1923 nt
Organism: Cyprinus carpio carpio
Lineage: Eukaryota; Metazoa; Chordata; Actinopteri; Cypriniformes; Cyprinidae
Source: Ensembl
ACGUGUCUGGAGUGUAAUUCAGUGCUCGCUAAUGAGACGCUUGUGUGAACUGGGCUCAUCCAUAUCCCCAAGGCGUCUCCCACUCACCUGCUGCUGGAGAAACCGAGAAAGAGAUAGAGAGACAGGGGGAGGGCAGAGAAAGAAGGAAUAAAAAGAAAAUACUCUGGCAAAUUAAAUAUUGAAAAGUUUUCUGAGCAUUAUGCAGAAUUCUGACAUUACGUAGUGUAUGUUUGGGAGUGAGCACAUGCAGCGGUCUGGCUGUUUGUAGACAGCAGGUUGGAGGCCCAUCUGGACAGUGGCUUUUUUUCAAGGGACAGAAAUAACAUUCUACGGCACAUCAUGGUUUGAUGACAAAACCCUGCCUCUGUUGUUUUCUUCGUAUACCUGUGACCUUCAUUGCAAUUUAGCCUCUUAGAGAGCACAGAUAGAUCAUUGUGUCACUGUAUACUCAACGCAACUAAUACAUCAUAAAGGUGUAGGUAUCACACUUAUUAAUGGUUCACGUCUUAUCGUGAGAAUAGGUCUUUUUCAUUGAAGUUUGGUGACUUUUCUUUCACCAUCAGAACCUAUUACCUGUGGGGUGCCUCAGGGUUCUGUUAUCGGGCCUAUUACUUUUCUUUGUAUAUGCUGACCCUGGGUUUGAAUUUUAAAAAAUACAAAGCAAAGCACGGCAAAAUCGAUCUUUAGCUCUGUCCACUCCCAUGAAACACCGCAAAUUAUGUAAUCGAGUCCAUCUCCCUAUGCUUUCAAAAUACUUAAAUAAUUGUAUAGAUGUGCAUAUUUUGCAAGUAACUUAAAAUAGAAUAUUUCCAGGGACACAGCCAAAAGCAAUUAAUAGUUUUACAUUUCUCCAUUGUUUUUAAUUUGAUUUGCAAUGCUUCAUGGGAUUGUAGUUCUUUCAGGAGGGCUGGUGUCCUGCAGAGUUUAGCACAAACCCUAAUUAAACACACCUGAACCAGCUAAUCAAGGCCUUACUAGACAUACUAGAAACGUCCAGGCAGGUGUGUUGUGGCAAGUUGGAGCUAAACUCUGCAGGACACCGGCUUUCUGCACUACAAGUUCAAAAGAUCAUCAGAUUUAUUGCCAUGAGUCCUGGAAAUGUAUAAAACUGGCUAAUCAGAUUAUAUCAGGUCAGAUGGCUCAUGUGCAAUCCGUGGGCAGUCCAGCUGUCCCUGAGACUUCCUGAGGUCUGAUCUGGAGUAAAAUACACGGAGAAAGAUGGACACCUUCAACAGGAUGAAGGAGAGCUGCAUAAACUAGAAGCGAAAAAGCACACUAAAGUGGUUACAGAGAGUGAAGAAUGCCAAUUCAAAUGCUUGUGAGGAAACAAACCAGUGGAUCAAGGGAUACAGUGGAAAAUAUAAAAGAAUAUUCUGAGUAAGCCCGAACAGAAAACAUGAUUUCCUCACAUUAUGCAGUGAGUAGUUGGGCUUUGUCUCUGUUCACCUUGUACUGGACAUUCAUCUGUAACCUGGAAGAUAAAGUGUCAUAAUGAUAUUUUUCUGCUUAAGAUGAGGAAAAUUGCCGAUCACCUCAAUUUCUGUCCCUUGCUCUCAAAAUGAUAAAAUAUUCAAAUCCAGUGCUUUUUACUGAUCCAGAUGGUCAGGACAAGAUUAAAUAAAACAGCUGUUUUGUACUGCAGAUUGUAAAAUGGGUCUGAAUGAAUUAGGCAGCACCUCUCUCUCUCUCUCUCGCUCUCUCUCUCUCUCUCUCAUUGGUUUCUCAUAUUAGGCAUGCUUUAUUGGAUUACUACACAACCAGACGAGGUGGUAAUUAUAGCUUUGCUCAUCAGGAAUGUGUCUGUUCAUUGAUAAUCUAUACUGAUAGAAGCCCUUCCUGUAUAUACGGCAGCCCAAUCCCCAAAAGACGAGCCUUAUCCAGCCAAAGUCCUAAAACAAUGUAAUGACACUCAUCUGUGGGGCG